CCUACGGGUGGCAGCAGUCGAGAAUCAUUCACAAUGGGGGAAACCCUGAUGGUGCGACGCCGCGUGGGGGAAUGAAGGUCUUCGGAUUGUAAACCCCUGUCAUGUGGGAGCAAAUUAAAAAGAUAGUACCACAAGAGGAAGAGACGGCUAACUCUGUGCCAGCAGCCGCGGUAAUACAGAGGUCUCAAGCGUUGUUCGGAAUCACUGGGCGUAAGGCGUGCGUAGGCUGUUUCGUAAGUCGGGUGUGAAAGGCGCGGGCUCAACCCGCGGACGGCACAUGAUACUGCGAGACUAGAGUAAUGGAGGGGGAACCGGAAUUCGCGGUGUAGCAGUGAAAUGCGUAGAUAUCGAGAGGAACACUCGUGGCGAAGGCGGGUUCCUGGACAUUAACUGACGCUGAGGCACGAAGGCCAGGGGAGCGAAAGGGAUUAGAUACCCCUGUAGUC
Molecule: ribosomal RNA, 446 nt
Filed under: uncultured bacterium
Lineage: Bacteria
Description: partial 16S ribosomal RNA
Rfam family: Bacterial small subunit ribosomal RNA
Source: RNAcentral